This 928-nucleotide ribosomal RNA is filed under the name Pseudomonas aeruginosa. RNAcentral's name for it is "bacterial SSU rRNA". It matches the Rfam family "Bacterial small subunit ribosomal RNA", at positions 23 to 947 of the family's 1533-position model. Lineage: Bacteria; Pseudomonadati; Pseudomonadota; Gammaproteobacteria; Pseudomonadales; Pseudomonadaceae. The record is from RNAcentral.
CUCAGAUUGAACGCUGGCGGCAGGCCUAACACAUGCAAGUCGAGCGGAUGAAGGGAGCUUGCUCCUGGAUUCAGCGGCGGACGGGUGAGUAAUGCCUAGGAAUCUGCCUGGUAGUGGGGGAUAACGUCCGGAAACGGGCGCUAAUACCGCAUACGUCCUGAGGGAGAAAGUGGGGGAUCUUCGGACCUCACGCUAUCAGAUGAGCCUAGGUCGGAUUAGCUAGUUGGUGGGGUAAAGGCCUACCAAGGCGACGAUCCGUAACUGGUCUGAGAGGAUGAUCAGUCACACUGGAACUGAGACACGGUCCAGACUCCUACGGGAGGCAGCAGUGGGGAAUAUUGGACAAUGGGCGAAAGCCUGAUCCAGCCAUGCCGCGUGUGUGAAGAAGGUCUUCGGAUUGUAAAGCACUUUAAGUUGGGAGGAAGGGCAGUAAGUUAAUACCUUGCUGUUUUGACGUUACCAACAGAAUAAGCACCGGCUAACUUCGUGCCAGCAGCCGCGGUAAUACGAAGGGUGCAAGCGUUAAUCGGAAUUACUGGGCGUAAAGCGCGCGUAGGUGGUUCAGCAAGUUGGAUGUGAAAUCCCCGGGCUCAACCUGGGAACUGCAUCCAAAACUACUGAGCUAGAGUACGGUAGAGGGUGGUGGAAUUUCCUGUGUAGCGGUGAAAUGCGUAGAUAUAGGAAGGAACACCAGUGGCGAAGGCGACCACCUGGACUGAUACUGACACUGAGGUGCGAAAGCGUGGGGAGCAAACAGGAUUAGAUACCCUGGUAGUCCACGCCGUAAACGAUGUCGACUAGCCGUUGGGAUCCUUGAGAUCUUAGUGGCGCAGCUAACGCGAUAAGUCGACCGCCUGGGGAGUACGGCCGCAAGGUUAAAACUCAAAUGAAUUGACGGGGGCCCGCCGAGCGGUGGAGCGUGUGGUUU